UACGUAGGGGGCAAGCGUUGUCCGGAAUCAUUGGGCGUAAAGCGCGUGUAGGCGGCCAGAAAAGUCCGCUGUGAAAACUCGAGGCUCAACUUCGAGCUGUCGGUGGAAACUUUCUGGCUAGAGUCCGGAAGAGGAGAAUGGAAUUCCUGGUGUAGCGGUGAAAUGCGCAGAUAUCAGGAAGAACACCCGUGGCGAAGGCGGUUCUCUGGGACGGUACUGACGCUGAGGCGCGAAAGCGUGGGUAGCAAACAGG
This 253-nucleotide ribosomal RNA is filed under the name uncultured bacterium. Its description in RNAcentral is "partial 16S ribosomal RNA". It matches the Rfam family "Bacterial small subunit ribosomal RNA", at positions 524 to 776 of the family's 1533-position model. The record is from RNAcentral.